CCAUUUCCAGCUCACAUCCAGCUCUGCGCCCCGGAGGGAGAGGGAGGGAAGAGAGAUUGUGGUCUGCAUCCUGGAGAGCUUCUUCUUCAACGAAGGUCAGUUUGCAUAUUCAACUUCAUCUGAUAUUCUAGGUGAAUCAGACUGCUUAGAAUUAUAUUGUCGAUCAAUUUUCAAUUGAAAAAAAAAAUUAGGAAAAGAAUUUGAUUAAAGGUUCAUAUGCAUAUUCAGAUUCAUACGAUUUUAUACCUGAUUAAAACUGCUUCCGUCUUGUGCAGUUUUUGUUUUUUUGGUGAUUCAUGGAAAAUCAAUGUUCAAUAUAAGAUCUAACAAAUAAUCAUUAUUAUUAUUUGUUUCGGUUACCGUUCCAUGAAUUCAUUCUUUGUGCCAUUCCUUUUUUCUUUUUUUUGUCGAUGAUAUUUCAUGACCUAUUCGACGCUUGAAUCUUUGCUCACAUUGUAAUUUUGUAUGAUCAAUGUUCUUAGACGGUUGAGUUUUUGUUAUUUUCAGGCCCAAUUCAAGCAACUUGAAAGUGUUCAAUGAGCAUUGUCCACAUGCUGCUAUGUGGUAUGUUUUCUCACUUGGGCUGAUUGGCAAAUGUUUUUAGAGAUAUAAGGAAAAGACAAUUUUUUAUAAAUUUUUAAUCGUUAUGAUUUGUACUGUCUUAGUUACACCUGUUCUUUGAUGAGAAUUACCUUAUGACUCACAACUACCAACCUCAUCAGUCAUCACCCUUCUCAGCCUGCUCCUCUCUAAUUUAAUCAACAUAUGUAUACACAAUAGUAGGUAACUUCCGAUUGAGGGAUCUUAAAAUAAGUUUAUUUAGGGAUAUUAUUGUAUGGCUUCUUUGGCAUUGUAUUUCAAUAAUUCGACUGUCAAAGUUUAAAUAAGUGUAUUUUAGGGAUAUUAUUGUAUGGCUUACUUGGCAUUGUAUUUCAAUGAUCCGACUGUCAAAGUUUAUUCCUGCAAAAAACCGACCUGAAUCAGAAACCACUAACCACUCAAUCAUCGUCAUAUUAUUUCUUACAAAGAUGAUCUUUGAAUAAAUUUUUAAAAAAUGAACAAUUUGGAAUUGUUGAAGUACAAAUGCAAAGUGGACUCCAGAGGUACCCCUUAAAUAACUUUAGGGAUGCUUCAAUAAAAAGGCUGUCCACACGAUAGUUUUAUAGAAGUGACAAAUCAGGCUGCUCUGCAUGUUCAUUUUCUUGACAAAUGAUUGAUUCUCACCAGCCUGUUGCAGCUUUGAUGAAACUGGGAAAAUGACAAUUCAUUCACUUGGAUUGGACCUUGAAUAAACUUUCUCAUUUGCCACCCGGAUGGUGGUAGGAUAAGCAAUAAUGUGAAUAGUUAUAUAUAUAUAUAUAUUUUUAUAGCUAAUGCUUUAGGAUAGUUUUCUUUGACAUCCUUAGGAUAAGCAUCUCCCAUACACUAAGCCAUUCCUCAUCUACAUCCUUUAAAUUGUCACAAGCUUGGCCUUAGAUUUUUAUUGUUCUGUAUCAUAUUGAACUGUCAUUUCAUCUUAAAUUGUUGUCUGAGACGUUUAGAUUUCCAAAGACUGCUUAAAUAAUUGUUUGGACUUUUUUGUUUGUUUGCUUGAAAUUUCAUAGAUCAAGAAAAUGAUUUGGCAUUGGUGCUUGUCAGUCUCAUAGGAAGGUAGCUUUUAGAGUUUGGACUUUGUCUAAUAGGUUCAGCUUUGCAGCACAUCCUCAACCACCACGGCUGAUUCUGCUCGAUUUGCUUUGGUUUCAAACUUAUUUCUUUUACACUGAGGUUCUGAAAUUUUGUUUUUGAAGGACGGUGGUUUUACAGUAUCAAGACUUAUGUCCUUUCCUUCAUAUAUUUAUCUAUUUCCCUCAACGUAUUUUCAGGGUUCUCUGCUAUUUGUGAUAAUUCUUAAAAUAAUGAAAAAACGACAUUACUUAGUGGAAAACAAACGUCUGCUGUUGGCACAUUAUUGAUCAGAGCCCUUGUACUAUUUCUGUUGAUUUUCUUAGCCUCAUUUUGAUUGAUUUAUAUAUAUAUAUAUAUAUAUAUUUUUCUCUGUGGAGAAUAUCCCCAAAUGGCAAUUUCCUUAGGCUAGUAGUAUUUGGUGUGAUUCUCACGAUUGUCGGUACAAAUUAACUUUGUACAAUCGAUGUGCACAUGACAUUAUUCUUACAGUGACUUGUUGUUCGAUUAGUCUAUUGUUGUUGUUGUGAUCAACUAUUCCUUUGAGAGGUUGAUGGGUUUUUUACUUUCAUACGUUACAUAAAAUGCUUGUGGUCAGUGUUUUAGGUGUUCUUUUGAUUCUUCUUUUUGAACCAUACUUUGCUUUUGAGUUAUAGAAUCAUUCGUAACAGUUGCCAGGCUUAUCCUGCAUUUUCAUAUAGGGUGCAUAAGAAUCAUUUGCAUAUUUAAAUUAGGGAAAUGCUUAAAAAUAAUCAGCACACACCCGCAGACAACCAUCAACCAUUAGUGUGUGUAAGCUUCCUAGUGGAUCUACAAGCAUCUUUGGUUGACAAUUACUGGUCCACAUUAUGUAUGUGCAUAGAUUGUCACUAAUUUUAACCUAAACUACAAAAUAUGAGAAAAACUUACAUAGUACGGGAUGUAUUGCCUCUUUAAAUAUCUCUCUAUAAGUGAUUUGCACAUAAAUCAGGAAGUAGGAAGGGAGGAUUCUGAAGACGGGAUAAGUUAUCUCCCCACACACUAUGUGAUUAUAUGUUAGUCACUUGAAAGAAUAAUGUUUAGUCACAUAUCACAUGUAAGUUUCUUUAAAGAGAACCAUAAUUCUUUCUGCUAGCAUUAGGACAAGCUUUAAAGACACUUUAACCUAGAGCUUAAGAGAGGCCAAAUAUUUGACCUAAAAAACCAAGAGAGAGCAAUUACGACUUAAUAGGCCUAGAAAUAAAUUCCAAGGAUGGGUUGAAAGGUCAUAUACGUUAAGUGUUGCUUUUGGACUUGGACCUUGGUGUGGUGACAGCAACUAGAUGGACAAACCUAAAUGCUGUAGGUGGAUAAAAUAGGUUCCCUGUUCUCUGACAAAGAUAUCACCUUAAUUUUACAUUAGUAUAUUCAUUAUUGCAUUCCCAAAGUCCCAAUGUUCAUCAAAGCUGCAGACCCCAUCACCCCCACGGUCCAAAAAGGACAAUCAGUCAAACAGAAACAGAGCACUAGAUAAAGUAAGACUGACAAUAAAAAUAUAACAUAAGAACAUAUAAAAUUCCUGCAAUCAUAUAUUACUUUUUAUCUGUUCCAAUUUUUUCUUUUUUCUUUUUUCUUUUCGUAACCAAUUAAAAAAAAUACAAACUCCAAAAACUAAACCAAACUGUAUCUCACAAACAGAACUAGCUUUUCCAUUUCCAUUUUGUUCCCCACUUUUCUCUGCUCAUAGUCUCUGGCUGCUAAGAAGUCUAAUAUUUAACAGCUGGAGAGGUUUUCUUCUUCAUGCCAAAAGCAUGGCACAUAUUGUUUCCCUUCUCCAUCCUCCAUCCAUGACCUAACUUAUUCCAUUCCUCCCAUCAUUGUACUUUUCCAACCUUUUUUUUUCAAAUUUUUUUUUUUCCUUUGAUCAACUUCAUCAAACACACCAAUCUACUUAUGUAACAAAAAUAAAAAUAAUUUAGCUCUAUAACUCCACCUCACAGGCUCUGUUUAGCUUCCUUCUUUUAGAAUCAGAGCUAUUGUGGAAGGAAUUUGCACAUGACCCAACUGUGCUCUCUUCACUUUUAUAGCUGAAGCAUGCAGCAUCCAAGACCCCAAUUGGACUCUGGGGCACAGACUGGGCAGAGCCACUAGCAUCCUUAAAGGCCCCACUCAUUAAAGACAUAUCAUGAAUCAAAUUUACACACUUUACCACUCUCUCCUGCAAAAACCAAAAUAAAAACAAAAAAAUUCAGUAUGGCAUGUCUUUUAGGGCAAUCAUAUUUGUAUAUUUGUAUUUGUUUGUAAUUGUAAUCAACUCAAAAUGAUAUGAGCAAAAGCUUUAAAAAAACCAUCAUUUAUGUCUCCCUUUGGGGACUUGGACCACCAACCAUAUACCUUUACUAAGUCUACAUGUUGAAUGAGCAUAGAGAUUGCUUUCUCAGUGUCUAAUGUUUUGGCUUCUCCUGCAACAGAAAUUGCUAUUGCUGCUGCAACCUCUGAUGGCCUGAAUUCCAAGAAGUCAAUUCCUGCAUUCAAUUCCCACCCACCACAAACAUCAGCCCCUCUUUCAUAAUACUGGUGCAAUUGCAGAGAAAUUAUAACAUAUAGCAGAAAAUGCAG
This 4242-nucleotide long non-coding RNA is filed under the name Prunus persica (peach). RNAcentral describes it as "long non-coding RNA (PPER_LNC001583)". The record is from RNAcentral. Lineage: Eukaryota; Viridiplantae; Streptophyta; Magnoliopsida; Rosales; Rosaceae.